UGCUUAAAGACAUUAUUUUAAGUAAAAUCUGCUCAAUGAAACUUCAAUAGCCGCAGAACUUUUACUGUGCUAAGGUAGCAUAAUCAUUAGUUUUUUAAUUAAAGACUAGAAUGAACGAUCCAACAAUUCAAUUUCUUUCUUUUCUGAGCCAACAAAAUUAUAUUAAAUAUAAAAUAUAUUUAUAUAACAAUAAGACGAUAAGACCCUUUCGAACUUAACUUCAGUUUGACUGGGGUAGCCAAUUAAACAUUAUUUUAAUUUAACUUUUAACAAAACCUGACCCAAUAAAUUUGUAUAUAAGAUCAAGUUACCGAAGGGAUAACAGCGCAAUAUUACUUUAAGUUCUUAUUUAAAGUAAUGGUUACGACCUCGAUGUUGAAUUAUUUACCUAAUUAAACGCAAUAGUUAAUCAAGGAGGUCUGUUCGACCUUUAAAUUUUUACA
This 443-nucleotide ribosomal RNA is filed under the name Mimetus sp. GH891. Its description in RNAcentral is "partial 16S ribosomal RNA". It matches the Rfam family "Bacterial large subunit ribosomal RNA", at positions 1878 to 2600 of the family's 2925-position model. The record is from RNAcentral. Lineage: Eukaryota; Metazoa; Arthropoda; Arachnida; Araneae; Mimetidae.